AUGCUCCUGGUGAACAAUAAAAUUGGGAAAAUAGAACAAACAAUUCUGAUUUCUUUUGUGACAACCUUUGACAAAUUUUCUAUGUGCUUCCCAAAAUUCAUCAUGAAUGAACAUUCCUGGAAGUCAUGGCAAAAAAAAAAAAUCAAUACUCCAAAAAUGCUUUUUUUGAAAGCAUUUUGCAUUUUGGAGUAUUGGUUUUUUUUCCAUGACUUGCAUGAAUGUCAUUUCGUGAUGAAAAUUUUCAAGCAUAGAAAAGUUUUGUCAAAGGUUACCACAAAAAAAAGUUCAGAUUUUUUUAUUUUUUUAUUUUCUUUCAGUUUUACUGUUAGCCCGAGCUCAUUUGAGCUCGGGAGUGGAAGAACACUUCCAGAGAUAGUCUCCUUAUUUGGCAUAGCUCGUCAUUAG
Molecule: ribosomal RNA, 405 nt
Filed under: Triticum aestivum (bread wheat)
Lineage: Eukaryota; Viridiplantae; Streptophyta; Magnoliopsida; Poales; Poaceae
Description: partial small subunit ribosomal RNA
Source: RNAcentral